This 255-nucleotide long non-coding RNA is filed under the name Neodiprion lecontei (redheaded pine sawfly). RNAcentral's name for it is "uncharacterized LOC124294002". Lineage: Eukaryota; Metazoa; Arthropoda; Insecta; Hymenoptera; Diprionidae. The record is from RNAcentral.
CUGAACCAGUUUUUUAAAGUUUUGAACCAGUUUUUUGAAGAGUCUGAAGGGCAACUCUAUGGACCAGGAAUCGCUGAUUAGCAUAUUAAUGCGAUGGAAAUUGCGACCUGUACCUUUCCCGCCGCACGACAAAUGCAUACUCGAGACGCCUCGGUGAAAUGCUUGUACCAGGCAUAAUAUGACAUGUAUCCUAAUGAAAAAAUUCGAGAAGACUGUUGAAAUACAUAACAAUAAACCCUGAAAGUUUCGUUUUAA